This 921-nucleotide ribosomal RNA is filed under the name uncultured Methanosarcinales archaeon. RNAcentral describes it as "bacterial SSU rRNA". It matches the Rfam family "Archaeal small subunit ribosomal RNA", at positions 1 to 922 of the family's 1478-position model. Lineage: Archaea; Methanobacteriati; Methanobacteriota; Methanomicrobia; Methanosarcinales. The record is from RNAcentral.
UUCCGGUUGAUCCUGCCAGAGGUUACUGCUAUCGGAGUUCGAUUAAGCCAUGCGAGUCUAAAGGUUUCUUCGGAAACCUUGGCAGACUGCUCAGUAACACGUGGAUAACCUACCCUUGGGACUGGAAUAACCCCGGGAAACUGGGGAUAAUACCGGAUAGAUCAUGGAUGCUGGAAUGCACCUUGAUCCAAAGCUCCGGCGCCCAAGGAUGGGUCUGCGGCCUAUCAGGUUGUAGUGGGUGUAACGUACCUACUAGCCAGCGACGGGUACGGGUUGUGAGAGCAAGAGCCCGGAGAUGGAUUCUGAGACACGAAUCCAGGCCCUACGGGGUGCAGCAGGCGCGAAACCUUUACAAUGUGCGAAAGCAUGAUAAGGGAACUCCGAGUGCCAGUAUCUAAUACUGGCUGUCCUUGUGCCUAAAACGCACAAGAUAGCAAGGGCCGGGUAAGACCGGUGCCAGCCGCCGCGGUAACACCGGCGGCCCGAGUGGUAGCCGCUAUUAUUGGGUCUAAAGGGUCCGUAGCCGGUUCGAUAAGUCCUCUGGGAAAUCUGGUUGCUUAACAAUCAGACUGCCAAGGGAUACUGUCGAACUUGAGACCGGGAGAGGUAAGAGGUACUUCAGGGGUAGGAGUGAAAUCUUGUAAUCCCUGGGGGACCAUCUGUGGCGAAGGCGUCUUACCAGAACGGGUCUGACGGUGAGGGACGAAAGCUGGGGGCGCAAACCGGAUUAGAUACCCGGGUAGUCCCAGCCGUAAACGAUGCUCGCUAUGUGUCAGGUACGGUGUGACCGUAUCUGGUGCCGUAGGGAAGCCGUGAAGCGAGCCACCUGGGAAGUACGGUCGCAAGACUGAAACUUAAAGGAAUUGGCGGGGGAGCACUACAACGGGUGGAGCCUGCGGUUUAAUUGGAUUCAACGCCGGG